This 499-nucleotide ribosomal RNA is filed under the name uncultured bacterium. Its description in RNAcentral is "bacterial SSU rRNA". It matches the Rfam family "Bacterial small subunit ribosomal RNA", at positions 21 to 518 of the family's 1533-position model. The record is from RNAcentral.
GGUUCAGGAUGAACGCUGGCGGCGUGCUUAACACAUGCAAGUCGAACGAAGCUCUUUGAAGGGAGGAUUCGUCUGAACGGAUGAGAUGACUUAGUGGCGGACGGGUGAGUAACGCGUGGGUAACCUGCCGUAUGCAGGGGGACAACAGUUGGAAACGACUGCUAAUACCGCAUAAGCGCACGGUUCUGCAUGGAACAGUGUGAAAAGAUUUAUCGGCAUACGAUGGACCCGCGUCUGAUUAGCUAGUUGGUGAGGUAACGGCCCACCAAGGCGACGAUCAGUAGCCGGCCUGAGAGGGUGAACGGCCACAUUGGGACUGAGACACGGCCCAAACUCCUACGGGAGGCAGCAGUGGGGAAUAUUGCACAAUGGGGGAAACCCUGAUGCCAGCGACGCCGCGUGAGUGAAGAAGUAUUUCGGUAUGUAAAGCUCUAUCAGCAGGGAAGAAAAUGACGGUACCUGACUAAGAAGCCCCGGCUAACUACGUGCCAGCCGCCGC